Rattus norvegicus (Norway rat) is the source of this 4114-nucleotide non-coding RNA. NCBI's taxonomy places the organism in Eukaryota, Metazoa, Chordata, Mammalia, Rodentia, Muridae. The record is from RefSeq and is a predicted model, not a curated record.
ACAUGGGCAGUUCCCCAGAUUUCCAUUCCUAAAGCUGCCUCAGGAUUCAUCCUAUGUAGCCAUCUCUAUGGCUACUGAUAGAAUUUAUAAAGGAUCCCAUGGACUGAGCAGAGUUGACAUGAGAGGGAGGGGUGAAUGACAGUUGGGCCAGCUAUAGCAACUGGCACUCCUGACAGACAUGACCUGGUCCUUUCCUUAACAGCAAUUGCCUAAAAGAACAAAUCCUAGGUAUGGGUGGCACAGGCCACCUUCAAAAUGACACCUCAAACCAGAUGAAGCUGGAGGCAAGAACCAUGAGGAAGUGGUUGCUGGCUCUGACAGGGUAUGUUCAAGUUCUGUUCCUUCAGGGAUCCAUCUCCUCAUCUCGGCAGCAGGAGGACACAGAAGCCUCACCCAAUGCCAGUUCCUGGACUCUGGAAAGGAAGGCUAGUCCUCACCUUCUAGCUCCAGUCCUUGUUGUAGGGCCCUGGGCAAUCUUUCCAGUUUAUCUCUCAAGGCUUCAGUAUAGGGUGUCUUCAAGGGUGCCUAUGAGAGCUGAAAGUGUGGUAAAUGCAAGAAUGUAAGUAGAAUGCAGCUCAGGCCGCCAUAUUUGGCAGUCCUUUCCCUCAGGCACCUGAGACACAGUGAGUCUGCAGUGCCUCACCUUGGAGUGCCAGGGCCUCUCAUCUUGAUAAGUGAAUUCAGGUCAAAGACAGUAUUGGCAGCUGCACGCCCUCCUUGCCAUCCACUUCCCUGCCUCCUACCCAGGAUCGGAGAGCCUGGCUGCAGACUUGUGCUAGGAAAUCACCCCUAUCUUCAGAAAAGCAUAAUCCCCCUCCACUUCUGCCACAUGCACCCUGACUUCCUCUUCUCAGAGCUCUCACCGUGUUCUCAUUGCCUGCCUGCAGUGUUAGUAAUUCUAACAAGCUUAAUUCUUCUAGGGCUAAGCUUUCCCCCUGCAACCCUGCUCCAUGUCCCUCUGAACCUCCACCCUGUCACCAAGGGCUUAGCAGACAGCCUAUCCUGAAGCAGGGUGUCUUGUCUUCAGUGAUGUCUUGUCUUCAAAGCAACAUCCAGACAAACACCACUGGGAAGUUCGUACACUGUGAGCAGCCUGGCUUUGUUUUGACAGAGGUUAAGCUCACAGAGCAUAAAGCUCACCACUGUAGGGUGCUGUCAGUCAGCUCCGUGCAGCCUUUGCCGAAGACAACCCUCCUAAGUAAGACAGCGACCAUAUUCCCCAGAUCCGUGGUACCUGCCCACAGGAGACCAUCCCGAUGAGGCCUGCAGACUUUUGAGGUCUGUCUCAGUCAACAACAUACUGUCUCAGAAAAUUGUUCUCUUUAGUAAAAACUGACUUUCCCUAAAGCCCUCCCAGAACUCCAGAGGAUUUCUUGGUUUAGGCUGGAACAUAAAGCUACUCAAUGAGGAAGGCCUCUCGAUGCCCAGGAUUGCCCUGCUACAAAACUACCUAAAAGUACAGGACAGAUGGGCUAGGGUCAUAUUUGUACCGAGAAUUCUUGACUGGCAUAGGUAUAUGCCCACAGACACAGCAUCCAGGAGGCUGAAGCAGGAUUGUGAGUUUGAGGCAGCAUGGUCUACCCCAGGAGAACUUAUCUCAAGAUACCAUGAAUGAAUAAAAUAAAUAUUCCCCUCGAAGGGCACCACGGGCAAAGGAACCCAGGUAAGGAGGCAGCAUGAAUCCAUCUUUGCAAAGACUUAAACUGAGCAGUGUCUAAGCUGGGGACACUCAAGGAGACCUCACCUAACAAUAAAAAAGACUCUGGCGAAACAGAGAGGAUCCAAGAAAAGGUGUAAGAGAUAUGAGUGGGAACACCUACUAUAGGGGCUCAUUGGUCAGCAGGCAAGGUGCCACUAAGUGGGGGUGCGACCUUGGACUUGUCGGGUGGAAGGCACAUUUACAUAAACCAACAGGACACACUGCUAAAGGGACUACCUUCCAAAAUGGGGUAGUCUCUCACACACUGUUGGGGGAGGGUGUCAGCCCUUCUAGAGGGGUGUUGGUCAACUUAGAAAGAGUAGGAUACACUUAUAUCCCAGAGGUUCCAGGGUUGGGUAGAGAAGUGUGGGUGCCCUGGAGGGGUAGGACACAGAUUCCUAAGUGACAUGGAUCCCCAGGGGAGUAGGGGUUGGAGACAUCAUAAUGCCCACCUCUUACCUGGAAACACCAAUGCUAAAGGGAGGGGCACAGGAAGCAAGGGGAGGAAGGGACCCUGCCCACAGUAGGUACUCCCAAAAUGCUAGUCACCAGCUCUUGAAAAUGACAGCCACAGCUAAGACCAGGGAUUGCCUUCUAUCCCGGUAGAGACUCUGGGACCCUGUGACCACCAGGUCCUUUAUUCAUUUACAUGUUUGUGACUGUUCAACCUCUCUCCAGGGUGUGCUGGGAGCUGUUUAUUAUCCCCAGCCCACAAGCCCCCGCUACAGAAAACGUAGCGGUCACUCCUGAGGUCAUAGUGGCCCUCAGCAGCGGCCUUUCUUUCCGGCCCACCCCUCACCCCACCCCUCACCCCACCCCUCCGGUCUUUGGGGUCUGUGAUUAGCCUGGGUAUUGAAUGACCCCUGCUCUUCUUCCCCCACCUCGCAAGGGUUAAUCAGCCUUCCUGCAGAGCGGCUGGGCGGCUCGGAAGGAGGCAGCGAAGCGGCCUGGCGGCAGGCUGCUUUCAUUACUUUGAUGGGAUACAUGUGCUUGGCUUUAUCUCCGGCCCUUUCUCUGUAAUUCAGCGCUUGAACGUCUCAGCUGUCGGCCGAUCUGCAGACAAUUGCUUGGGGACACAGCACAGGGAACGUGCAUGAGGUCGCGCUGUCCUGAAGGCCGUGGCCAAGGGUUCCUGAAACGCAGAGGAAGUAGCCUGGCUUCACAGAGGCAGACACUGCUGUCCUUGUGGGUCACAGUUCUGGAUCAACAGUCCCAGAAAGAGAGCCAGGUAGGACAAGGGUCAUCAAGAGCUGAGAUGGUUCAGAAUCUGGAAAGCUCACUGCUCCCCUUGGCUUCUUCGACACCCCUACCCUUCUCUAGGCCUCCUUCCAGUCUCCGUGGUUCACCUGCUUCCAAAACCAUGGCCUUGACGCACACGAACACAGACCCAAGCUGAGAUGCUCAAACAUCACUCCUGAGACCCAGAAACAGGUAGAAGGAAGUUGGACCAGGACCUAGGACUGUGCAGUCAAUGCCCCCACCGCACAGCAGACCCUCACUCCCAAUACUUUGGCUCCCGGCACCCAUUCUCUUCUCCAGGAAGCUCAUGGCCUCUCUCUUGCUAGGUCUCCUGGAGUUUCCUGGCUGGACACGAUGUUCAGAUAAACCAAAAGCCUUUACAUACAACCAACAUUGCAGAAGCCUCUGGAAUCCUCACCUGCUGUGUUCUUAGCCAUCAGAGGCAGCAGCUAGGUCAUUUGUGAGCUGGGUUGAGGCUGGGACAACAGGGAACCUGGGGACUGUUAGGAAGCGAGAACAUGUCUGCUUCUUUUAUGACCUCCAAUAUUAGUCACCAGGAAGCUGCCCCAUGAAGCACACGACCUCGUAUCACUAACUCGGCUUGAAUUAAUUAAGGAGACUCGUAUGGGGAUAAUUAGAGACCUUUCUGUUGAUGACAUCUCAUCUCCUGGUGGUGGAAUUGGCUUCUGCAUCCUCUGGCAUUUCCUUAGGUCCCCACAGAUACUGCUAACAGGUUCUGUUUUUCCAAAGUACCUUAGCUCUAUGGCAGGACGGGGUUAGUGAGUCCACUGAUUAUGGCACAUGGACUCCGGGGAUGAAGGGAGGAUAGGGAGAUGGCUUCUGUUUCCAUCUGCCUUGCCUUACUUCCUUAUUUUCUUCAUGAUUUCAGUUCUUUGUUUUUAAACCUCACCGACAUCAAGACCACUAAUUUCCCAAACAUUCAAGGGAGCACCAUGUUAAAACUUCUACUCUAGGGCUGGAGAGAUGGCUCAAUGGUUAAGAGCACUGACUGCUCUUCCUGAGGUCCUGAGUUCAAUUCCCAGCAACCACGUGGUGGCUCACAACCAUCUUUAAUGGGAUCCGAUGUCCUCUUCUGGUGUGUCUGAAGACAGCUACAGUGUACUCAAUACAUGAAAUAAAUAAAUCUUAAAAAAAAAAAAAAACCGAAAAACAAAA